Long non-coding RNA from Schistocerca gregaria, 1317 nucleotides. RefSeq lists it as uncharacterized. The record is from RefSeq and is a predicted model, not a curated record. NCBI's taxonomy places the organism in Eukaryota, Metazoa, Arthropoda, Insecta, Orthoptera, Acrididae. The transcript has 3 exons.
AUUUUAUUAUAUUUAUUUUUUGUUUAUUUAAUUAUUUAAUAUAAAUAAUUUUAUUGUAUUUUUGUCUUAGUAUAUUUUAUAGAAUUGAUUUUUUAAAUUAUAGUUUAUUGGUAAUGUAAGUGUUUUAUGAAAUAUUAUUUUAAAUUUUUUUAAGUAGAUUUUAUUUAUUGUACCUUUUGUAUCAGGGUUUAUCAAAAUUUUAGUAUUUAUUUUACUUGUCUCGAUUUGGGUUGAUUUAUAAAUAAUUUAUAGUUAAUGUAUCAUAAUUAUUAUUAAAUUAUUUAUAGAAAUGAGAUGUUAAUCGUUUCCCAAGAUAUCUAGUUUCUUAAGAAAAAAUUUAAUUUUUUAAAGUUAUUUGUUUUUAUUUAAUUUUUUAAGUAAAAAUAUUAACUUAUUUAUUCUUUAAGGGAUAAGCUUUGAAGUUAAUAACCUAUAAUUUAUUUUAUAGAAAUAUAAUAGUAAGCUUUAAACCAGCUAUCUUUAAGAUUACGUUUUAGUUCAUUAUUUUUUAUUUUUAUUUUAUAAAUAUUUUAGGUUUUUUAUUAAGAUUAUUAAUUUAAUUUUAAAAUUUUUGUAAUAAUGAUAGAAUUAGUAUAUUUAUUUGUAUGAAAUUUUUACCUUGUGAACUUAUUAUAAGGAACUAGGCAAAAUUGAUUUCCGCCUGUUUAUCAAAAACAUGUCCUCUUGUUUAUAUUUUGAGGUCUGGCCUGCUCACUGAGCGUAUUUUUAAAGAGCCGCGGUAUUUUGACUGUGCAAAGGUAGCAUAAUCAUUAGUCUCUUAAUUAGUGGCUGGAAUGAAUGGCUUGACGAGAAAUCAACUGUCUCUUAAUAAAUUUUUGAAUUUAACUUUUGAGUCAAAAGGCUUAAAUUCUUCGUUAGGACGAGAAGACCCUAUAGAGCUUGACAUUUUACUUUUAUAUAGUUUUUUGUUUGUCUUUCUAUAUUUAAUGAUGAUGUUUUGUUGGGGUGACAUGAAGAAUAGAUAAACUCUUCAUUAUUAUAUCAUUUAUUUAUGUUUGUUAUUUUGAUCCAUAAUUUAUGAUCAUAAGAUUAAGUUACCUUAGGGAUAACAGCGUAAUUGUUUUUGAGAGCUCAUAUCGACAAAGCAGAUUGCGACCUCGAUGUUGGAUUAAGAAAAAUUUUGGGUGCAGGAGCCCAAUGAUUAGGUCUGUUCGACCUUUAAAUUCUUACAUGAUCUGAGUUCAGACCGGCGUGAGCCAGGUCGGUUUCUAUCCUAAGAUUGUUAAUCCAUAUUAGUACGAAAGGACCAUAUGGUUAAAAUAUUUUUUGUUAUAUUGAUUAAUAUUAAUUUAUUUA